This 143-nucleotide transfer-messenger RNA is filed under the name Flavobacterium sp. RNAcentral describes it as "partial transfer-messenger RNA". It matches the Rfam family "transfer-messenger RNA", at positions 228 to 374 of the family's 374-position model. Rfam says of the family: Bacterial tmRNA, also known as 10Sa RNA or SsrA, is named for its dual tRNA and mRNA-like properties. Lineage: Bacteria; Pseudomonadati; Bacteroidota; Flavobacteriia; Flavobacteriales; Flavobacteriaceae. The record is from RNAcentral.
UGGAUUUCGAAACUAAAGAAGCUAAGCGAUGUGUGGCUGUUUCUGGCCUACCGCAAAGUCGAAAACUCAAUCAGGAAAUAAGCGUGUAGAAAGUUUUUUAGUUGCUUGUUUGGACGGGAGUUCGACUCUCCCCGACUCCACUA